This is a long non-coding RNA of Symphalangus syndactylus (siamang), 646 nucleotides long. RefSeq lists it as uncharacterized. The record is from RefSeq and is a predicted model, not a curated record. NCBI's taxonomy places the organism in Eukaryota, Metazoa, Chordata, Mammalia, Primates, Hylobatidae.
GGAAAAUAUCCCAAAGAAUUAAAAAGAAGAAAGCUGUGAAUAAAACCCCAAAGCCCACUACUGGAGAAUGAGCUCUCUUUUUGCCUGCUGCCAUCCACGUAAGACGUGACUUGUUUCUCCUUGCCUUCUGCCAUGAUUGUGAGGCUUCCCCAGACACUUGGAACUGCACAAAAAUGUGUUUUUAACCUACUCUAGCCAACUGUCAAAAGGCUGUGUUAAGUGAUUCUCGGACAAGGUACCCCCAGAACCCAGACUGCAGCUACAGGCCCUCCUGAUGACAUCAAAAACUCCACAACUUGAAGUAGAGAUGAUUCCACCAGAAGUCCUCAGUAAGGCCCUGGAGAAAUGCAGAGAUGCAGGUUUAACGAAGUCCAUACAGUUUCAAUCACUAACUGUUGGAACUGAUCCUCAGACAAGCCAAGACUCAAGUACAAGCCCACCUACAAUUAGAUGAGACCUUAGGGCCACUGGGGCCUUCUCUGACUUUGUGCUCUUCACACACUUCCUUACAUUAGAAUAAUGUAAUUGUUCAGUAUGUUGUGCUUUAAUUUUUUAAGAGAAUGUCAAAGGCUAGCCAUGACACUGUUACCUGUAUUUCUUUUAAUUUAACUUUUCCCUAAAUAUUAAAUAAUGUAAUUAUUCAGAA